GAACUGCGCGAACGUUAUUCGGAAUCACUGGGCUUAAAGAGUCCGUAGGCGGCCUGGCAGGUGGGGUGUGAAAGCCCACGGCUCAACCGUGGAAUUGCGCUCCAAACCGUCCGGCUCGAGGGAGAUAGAGGUGAGCGGAACUGAUGGUGGAGCGGUGAAAUGCGUUGAUAUCAUCAGGAACACCGGUGGCGAAAGCGGCUCACUGGGUCUCCUCUGACGCUGAGGGACGAAAGCUAGGGGAGCGAACGGGGGAUUAGAUACCCCGGUAGUCCUAGCUGUAAACGAUGAGCACUAGAUCGAGGGGACUCCCCACAUCCCCCCCCCCCUGGUCGUAGCGAAAGUGUUAAGUGCUCCGCCUGGGGAGUAUGGUCGCAAGGCUG
RNAcentral lists this ribosomal RNA (380 nucleotides) under uncultured organism. RNAcentral describes it as "partial 16S ribosomal RNA". It matches the Rfam family "Bacterial small subunit ribosomal RNA", at positions 527 to 896 of the family's 1533-position model. The record is from RNAcentral.